GUCUUUUAAUUGAAGGCUUGCAUGAAUGGUUUAAUGAGAAAAUAUCUUUCUUUAUAUUAAUUUUUGAAUUUAAUUUUUUAGUUAAAAAGCUAAAAUUUUUAAGUGGGACGAGAAGACCCUAUAGAAUUUUAUUUUUAUUUUUAAUAAUUUAAUUUAUUUGUUAAUUUUAUUUUAUUUAUUAAAAUAAAAAUUUUGUUGGGGUGACAUUGAAAUUUAUUUAACUUUCAUAAUUAAUUUAUUAUUUAUAUGUAUAUAUAUGAUCCUAUUUUAUGGAUAUUAGAUUAAAUUACCUUAGGGAUAACAGCGUAAUUUUUCUGGAGAGUUCUUAUCGAUGGAAGAGUUUGCGACCUCGAUGUUGGAUUAAAAUUAGAUUUAAGUGUAGAAGCUUAAUUUUCUAGGUCUGUUCGACCUUUAAAUAUUUACA
This 424-nucleotide ribosomal RNA is filed under the name Pentatomidae sp. SJ-2010. Its description in RNAcentral is "partial 16S ribosomal RNA". The stretch from base 297 to 424 matches the Rfam family "Bacterial large subunit ribosomal RNA", at positions 2473 to 2600 of the family's 2925-position model. Lineage: Eukaryota; Metazoa; Arthropoda; Insecta; Hemiptera; Pentatomidae. The record is from RNAcentral.